RNAcentral lists this ribosomal RNA (820 nucleotides) under uncultured Actinomycetes bacterium. RNAcentral's name for it is "bacterial SSU rRNA". It matches the Rfam family "Bacterial small subunit ribosomal RNA", at positions 70 to 887 of the family's 1533-position model. Lineage: Bacteria; Bacillati; Actinomycetota; Actinomycetes. The record is from RNAcentral.
CUCCGUGGGGUUACUUUGAAGGUGCCGCUGUACGUGUGUGGAUACACUUGGGUGUGAUCUCUGCCGUGUGCAGUUCGGGAUAAGCUUGGGAAACUUGGUGUUUAAUACCGGGAUAGGACUAGUUGGUUAGGUUGUCGAUUGUCUGGUGAAGUUUUUUUCCGGUUCAAAGAGUGAGCUCGCUGGCCGUAUCAGCUUUUGUGGGUAAUGGUCUACCAAGGCGUCUGACGUGGUAGCCGGCCUGAGAGGUUGUACGGCCACAUUGGGACUGAGAUACUGGCCCAGACUCCUACGGGAGUCAGCAUGGGGAAUAUUGCACAAUGGGCGGAAGCCUGAUGCAGCGACGCCGCUGGGGGAUGAAGGCCUUCGGGUUGUAAACUCCUUUCGACAGGGACGAAGCGUAAGUGACGGUACCUGUAUAAGAAGCACCGGCUAACUACGUGCCAGCAGCCGCGGUAAUACGUAGAGUGCGAGCGUUGUCCGGAAUUACUGGGCGUAAAGAGCUCGUAGGUGGUUUGUCGCGUCGUCUGUGAAAUUCCGGGGCUUAACUCCGGGCGUGCAGGCGAUACGGGCUGACUUGAGUGCUGUAGGGGAGACUGGAAUUCCUGGUGUAGCUGGUGAAAUGCGCAGAUAUCAGGAGGAACACCGAUGGCGAAGGCAGGUCUCUGGGCAGUAACUGACGCUGAGGAGCGAAAGCAUGGGUAGCGAACAGGAUUAGAUACCCUGGUAGUCCAUGCCGUAAACGUGGGCGCUAGUGUAGGGGGCUUCCACGUCUUCUGUGCCGUAGCUAACGCAUUAAGCGCCCCGCCUGGAGAGUACGGCC